UCUGGAAGUAGAAUAAGCAUUGCUGGUGUGAUAAUAUUCAUAACUUAGUUAAAAUAUACAAUGCAAUAUAACAUCAAGUAUUUUCAAUUGUAACAAUGAUAAAGGAGUGGUUGAUCAACAUUCUUUAAAAUGAAGCUAAAAGUCAACCCACUGCGAUGGCAUUAUAGCUUGUGCAUCAAGAAUUCACUACAUUACAGAUACCCUCAAGAAUGCAGGACACUGUCUCUAGCUGUGAUUGGGGGCUGCCGUGCUUUAGACUCCCGCCCCCCACAUGAAGGACUUGUCCAUACAUUUAUUUUAAUUCAGCCACUUCCCCUCUUGUCAAAUGAUGACAAACACCAUUAGAAUUUGUGGUAUGGGUUAAUUGAUUGUUGGAUUCUAGUUACGAUUAGUUUAUUGAGGGCUGAACCAGUUACUUUUCCAUUAAGUUUUAUUCUUUCAGGGGCCUUUUAGGGUUAGGUUUAGUUUAUCAGGAGCUUACUUAGUAACUUUUCAGGUUUCUUAGUUUUAUCGGGUCGUUUUAAAGGAAGACCCCCAAAAGUAUUCUGAAUUAUUACUGGGAUACCUGUGGUAGCCCAGUUAUAAAUUGCAACUGUUUUUUUUCCCGUGGUCCCGGAAAAUCUGCAAUAUUUCGCAAUACCCCAAGAGCCUUUGCGUCAUAGUCAAUACUUCGCUUGUUCACUUCAAGACAGGAGAUGCGCCAUGUUGGAUUUGAGAUUUCAUCCGAGCAUUAGCUUAUAUUUGUGCAGGUAAAAAAGGCAACUUUGGCAAUUAUAUUAUUGCAAAUGCAAUCAAAGCUUUUCUAUCUAUAAUGCUAUUGUCCAAAUUCAUGUCAAUUUGAAUUUUUACUGCAUAUUUCCUUCGUCGAUUCAUGAUACGAUUAGUUGCAGACCCGACCCGUAGGGCCGUAGAGAAAGAAACAAGUGUUCGGGAGCUUUCUUCAAGGCCAAAAUUUGAGCAAAUACACCCAAGGAAUGUUUGGCCAUAGCCCCCCUUGUUACAUCCAUGGUAUUCUAGAAGUUAACCAGAUAGGCGUAGUCUUUCCUGAAGGAGUAAUUCAAACAGCACCAGAAAUAUAGGGCCAGCUCAUUGUCUCACAAGAGUAGCUGUUGGAAAACAACUUGGUGGACUAAAUAUAUCUUUUGACUUUCCA
Molecule: long non-coding RNA, 1153 nt
Organism: Nematostella vectensis (starlet sea anemone)
Lineage: Eukaryota; Metazoa; Cnidaria; Anthozoa; Actiniaria; Edwardsiidae
Exons: 2
Source: RefSeq, a predicted model, not a curated record